CUUCCACAAUGGGCGAAAGCCUGAUGGAGCAACGCCGCGUGAGUGAAGAAGGUUANCGNNUCGUANANCUCUGUUGUAAGGGANNNNNAAGUACAGUAGAAACUGCCUGUACCAUGACGGUACAUUAUUAGGCAGCCAAGGCUAACUACGUGCCAGCAGCCGCGGUAAUACGUAGGUGGCAAGCGUUGUCCGGAAUUAUUGGGCGUAAAGCGCGCGCAGGCGGUCCUUUAAGUAUGAUGUGAAAGCCCACGGCUCAACCGUGGAGGGUCAUUGGAAACUGGGGGAAUUGAGUGCAGAAGAGGAGAGUGGAAUUCCAAGUGUAGCGGUGAAAUGCGUAGAGAUUUGGAGGAACACCAGUGGCGAAGGCGACUUUCUGGUCUGUAACUGACGCUGAGGCGCGAAAGCGUGGGGAGCAAACAGG
RNAcentral lists this ribosomal RNA (421 nucleotides) under uncultured bacterium. RNAcentral describes it as "partial 16S ribosomal RNA". It matches the Rfam family "Bacterial small subunit ribosomal RNA", at positions 363 to 776 of the family's 1533-position model. The record is from RNAcentral.